AUUGAACGCUGGCGGAAUGCUUUACACAUGCAAGUCGAACGGCAGCACGGACUUCGGUCUGGUGGCGAGUGGCGAACGGGUGAGUAAUGUAUCGGAACGUGCCCAGUCGUGGGGGAUAACGUAGUGAAAAUUACGCUAAUACCGCAUACGAUCUAUGGAUGAAAGCGGGGGAUCGCAAGACCUCGCGCGAUUGGAGCGGCCGAUAUCAGAUUAGGUAGUUGGUGGGGUAAAGGCCCACCAAGCCAACGAUCUGUAGCUGGUCUGAGAGGACGACCAGCCACACUGGAACUGAGACACGGUCCAGACUCCUACGGGGGGCAGCAGUGGGGAAUUUUGGACAAUGGGCGAAAGCCUGAUUCAGCCAUUUCGCGUGCAGGAUGAAGGCCCUCGGGUUGUAAACUGCUUUUGUACAGAACGAAAAGGUUUCUACUAAUACUAGGAGCUCAUGACGGUACUGUAAGAAUAAGCACCGGCUAACUACGUGCCAGCCGCCGCAGUAA
Molecule: ribosomal RNA, 500 nt
Filed under: uncultured bacterium
Lineage: Bacteria
Description: partial 16S ribosomal RNA
Rfam family: Bacterial small subunit ribosomal RNA
Source: RNAcentral